Molecule: long non-coding RNA, 7025 nt
Organism: Cavia porcellus (domestic guinea pig)
Lineage: Eukaryota; Metazoa; Chordata; Mammalia; Rodentia; Caviidae
Exons: 2
Source: RefSeq, a predicted model, not a curated record
CUGGAAAGACUGGCCCCUCUGGGAAUGACCACCUUCCUUUGGAACAAGGGAUUCGGCCGCAGCCCUUCUGAGAGAGACCUGGAGCUUUCGAGUGGGACUUCGAGCGCUCCUGAUCCUGCCGCUGGGCGAAGCCUCUGACUACUAUUCAGGCCGCUGGACUGGAGAGUAGAAGCUACCUAACGCCAGCCAAGCCAGUUUGUGUCCCCCCAAGCUCUUCUGCUUUGGUUUCUUUUCAAAAAAUAAAAACACUGGGAGACAAUACACCAAAAUGUUCACAGUAGUUAACUACAGUAUAUUAUAUGUAUAUGACUUUCACAUUUUGGUUUUCAAUUUUUGCUUUAGAUGUCUUUUCUAUGAAUUUGCCAAAAUUUCCACAGAAAUGCAUGAUUUCCAUCAUAACCAGAAAAAAAUUUAAGUAUUUAAAAUGGAUAUAUAGUAUGAUCCCAGUAACAUAAACAUGCAUAGACAAAGUGGGAAGGAAAUAUAAAGAAUCAUCAACAGUAUGUUAUUUUUUGAAAACUGGGACAUGUUAUCCUAUUCUGCUUUACACUUUUCACUAUUUUCCACCUGGUAGGGAAAAUAAAAUCGAGUAAGAUAAAUUAGGUCAUUUUCUUCAAUGGCCAAGAGGUACCAAAAUCAGAUAAUUUCAAAAGCUCUUAGGAAUUGUAAAGAAAGGUAAUGUAUAAGUGUUAGUAUGAAGUUAAGUUGGUCGUAUUUCUUACUGUAAACUAUCAAAUUACCUUGGAAUACUAGUCUUUCUGUAUAUAAGACUAUUUCUCCAUGGCAAAAGUUAACUUGUAGAUAAGCUACUAAAAAUUUCAGAACUACAAGUCAGAGAAAGCCCUAGAGUGACAAUAAAAUUCCAAAGCCAUUCUGCCUGUUCACAAUAUUCCUGUUGUGAUAACUGCAGAACACACACUCAUGUGGUGAAUUACUUCUUUCCUCCACUACUAAGCUAAAAAGAAAGAUUACCAUACUUCCACCAUACUUGUCUCUCUGGAGGUUAAUUAGUUAUGUUUGACUUGAUGAAUUAAUAAGUCAUAAUAUCCUGCAGAUUCUGUAGAAAUAUGCUUUGACAUUUACAUUUGUGUGAAAAUCAAUACAAUAUUUUUUCGAGCAGGCCCUAUAAGCAGUUUCCUAUUUCUUAUAAGGAAAUUCAUCGUGUUUACUUGGUAAUCUUUUAAAAUGCCUAUAUAAGCUUGUUAUACUUUCAUAUAAUUUUAAUCUAUUAAAGAAAUUAAGGACUUUCUAUAGUAACAAACUAACAAUUGUAUAUUCCUUGAGAUUACAAAGGCUUUUUCAUGUGUAGCAACUUUUUCCAUUCUUGUAAUAGUCCUCAAAGGAGCAUAUCUCUAUUGAUAAAUAUGAGAAAAGAGAGAUGUCAAAUGAGUAUUGUAACUCAGAAAUAAGCUGGAAACUUAAACUCUUCUGAGUAUCAUAUCAGGCAUCUAACAUCCAUUGCUAACCCUGUGAUAUUGAAGUGAUUAAUAUAACUUUUACACUUCUCUACUAAUAUUUCAGUGCAUUUUUGUCACAGAACUCUCAAGAAGAAUACAUGGAUUCUAAUUUCAUAAUUCUGAUUUUUAGCCUUUGAGAUAAGCACUGAACAACGAGUUGUAUCUCACACAUUGAGAAUACUUGUUGGGGCAUAAAACAGGUACAAAUAAGCUACCCUUUAUCUCUGCAAUACAUUCCUAAAAGAUCUGUUGCUAAAGUGAAAUGGUGUCUGAAUUUCACAGGAGAAAUUCGUAUUUAUAUAUAUAUAUAUAUAUAUAUAUAUAUAUAUAUAUGUUCUAUUUCAAGAAGGAUGGGAAUGUUCACAGAACUAAUGGUUUUCAAGAGAUACAAUAAUGAUAAAAUACUGUCCAGGUAAUUACCAUUUUCUACUAUCAAAUAACUUAGCUCAGCCUUACAGGUAUAUAAAGAACACAAACAGCUUUUAGAAUAAUUUAUUCUCAGAAAAAGCUUUCAUAGUUGUAGCUCUUACAUUUUAAAAAAAAUUUAUAUAUAAUUUAAUAAGUGGUACAUUCCUGUAAUUAUAACAUACUGCUAGGCUGAGGCAGGAAGAUCCCAAGUUUUAGCCCAGCUUGGGCAACUUAGAGACUUUCUGAAAACCUGUCUUAACAUUAAAAAAUAAAAAGGGGUCAGGAUAUAGUCCUUCGUUCACUCAAUACCAAAAAGGUCACUAAACCAGUAAAUCUAUUUUUCAGUAUGAUAUUCCAUGAUAGCCACAUCUACUUUUGGUUUUGCAAUUUUAUACAAACUUAUAAAAAUCAGAUUUACCAACUGAGCCUAUGGAUGGUAAAUGCGAUUUUUAAAAAUUCUCAAAACUUUUAUAUGUACAGAAAUUUUCUGUACAUUUUUAUAUUUCCCCAUCAUCAAUUUUAGUUAUAUUCUUAGACUGUUCCUUCCAUUUGCAUAAAAUUAUGUACUGGGUAUUGAAUAAGGCUCUUUUCAAAUGUUAUUUCAUUAUAUAACUAUACAAGUAUCUUUUAAAGCAUACAUAUAAAAGAGUAUGCAGCUGCUAUAAAUGGUUCACUUUAGGAGGCUGAAGCAGGAGAAUUACAAUUUUAAGCCUGUCAGAGCAACUAAGUGAGACCCUUAAAAAAUGAAAAUGACUGGAGAAGUGCCAUGAAGGCACUAGGCUCAAUCGAGCUACAAAAUUUUUAAAGAGUGCAUGCAAGUAACCAUGAAUACUAUAUAAAUGAACAUACCAUCAGCUAUGAAACUGAUCUGUGGCCAACAUCUUUGUAUCAGCCUAGGAUUUAUUUCUAUAUCUUACCCCCUAACUUUCCUCCAGUUAACUCCCUAUCCUAAACUUUGUGUAUCAUUCCCUUGUGUUUAAAAAAUAACAUGUCUGUAUCCAUAAAUAAUGUUUUUAGUUCUAUUUUCCGAGGCUUAUAAAAAUGGCAUGGUCUUCUAAGUACUAUUAAUGAUUCCCUAGCACUUUUUUCACUUGCUAUAUUAUUCUUGCACUAUGUAAUUGUUAAUUCAUCGCUACAUUGCUUGCAAAAUAAUGUUUUGCAAAGUCAUGUUUCAUUUGUUUGUGUCCAGCUACACUUGGACUAUGAAGAACUCCUUAAAAGAGUCUCCCCACUUCUCUCUACCUACUCAAAAUACAUUUACCUCUGUAUAUAGAUCUUGCCACACUCCAUAUAGCUGCACCUCAAUCAUUUUUGCUACUAUCCAAUAUUCCAUUGUGUAGUUCCAUAAUUAAUGUAACCGUCUUCUAUAGGUGUGGAUAACAGAUUAACUUAAACCAAUUUAAACUUUGGUCACUCCAGGGACUUUGUGCUAUUUGAGGUCAUAUGGUUGUUUGUUUUGGAGGAAACCUUGUAAACUCAUUGUGUCGAAGGUAAUGAAAGUAAUGAACCUUGAGUCUCAGUGGAAGGCUGCUGGGAGAGCAUGAGAUGCUUUGCUAAAAUGUGUCCAAAAGAAUGGUAUCAUGGUUUGUACACUGUGUCAGCUUGAGAAGUCUAGAAGAUUAACUGAGGAAUUCAGCAGCUCUGCUUGCUGUGUUGUAGAGGGCACAAGCAGUUACCAUUCUAGGAUAUUGUUCAUUGUCUCAAUUUGAGAAAUUUAGAAGUUUGAGAGCUUCAGCAAGGAGCCAGUGUUCUUAUUUUGUAAAUAUCCCUCCUCCUGUGCAAAAGGAAGGCAAGGAAAUUUUGUGAGUGCUAUACCAGCCCUGGAGAGGGGGUGGUGGCCUGUGUACAAUAUAAGAGAGGAAAAGAGACUUGCUCUACACCCCCCCAUACACACCUUUUUGCUCUGGCUGCUUUUGCUGACUGCUGCCUUGAAGUGUUGCCCCUGUUCCAUGCCACCCUGCUUUGGAGCCCGCUGAUGAUGAACUGAAACCUCCACAAACAAUGAGCUAAAUGAGCCUUUCCUUUCUUCAUUUUGGGUAUCAGGUAUUUUGUGCAGCAAUAAGGGGAAAAUGACCAAGACAAAUGGUAAACAUCAAGGCCAGACACAGCUAAAGAUGGUCCCUGGAAUAGUUAAACAAUUAAUUUUACCUGAACUUUACCCUUAUAGCAUCCACUUCUGUUCUUUGAAAAAGAAAAGACUAAUAAAAUCCAGAGAAAAUUGUAAUCAGGGCUUCAGUCCUAGAGGCUGUUGCCCUACAACCCCAUAACUUUCAUCUCUAUUGUUUUUUUUUCAUCCACCCCACACUUUUGGGACCUGUCUCUUCAUAGAAACCAAUAUACAAUUGUUUGAAUUUCCAAUUUUUUGUUAUUAUGAUUAAUAAUUACAUUAACUGCUUUUGUUCUGUCUCUUGGUGCCCAUACGCAAAAGUUUCUCUAGGGAAUAGACCUAGGAAUCAAAUUUUGGAAUAGUAGAACAUGAAAAAAUGUUCCAUUUUAUAAUUUAGGACCAAAUUGUUUUUGACAAUAUGUUAUUCCCACGUACAUCCCCAACUAUAGUGUAAUCAAAGCUCUUGGAGGAAGAGGUCAUAUAAAUACUAUCUUAAAAGCGAUUGUCAAUAUUGGUUCCUUUCGUGGUUAAACAUGAUCAUGGUUAUUGAAACAUAUUAAAUCUACAAUGUUUCUCAAAAAGCAUUUCCAGAUAUAAAAUUUUAUAAUUCUCAAUUUUAAAUGUUCUGAAAGUAAACAAAAUGAAUGUUUAGUAGCACAGCUAAGAAAAGAAAUUAAUGAUUUUAAAUAAAAAUGGCACUGUACAAUAGUAUUUUAGUUUGGACUUAUUUUAAUAUCUCACAUGUCUGUCAAAUGAAGAACUAAUGAGAUAGACAUCAACAAUGUUGGAGUACGAUGUAAUUCUAUUUCACUAGACUCCAAAGCUCAGAGUUGUUUUCUAUAAUGCCAGUUUUUCAUUAAUUACAGAAAUAUAUUGUUUUCUCUGUAAAACUGUCACAACAAAUCUGUUCAUACAAACCAUACUUAUCCUAAGAAUCCUUCGUCUAAUUGCCCUAGGCUUCUCUCUGAUAAUCUUGAAAAACGUUUCAUAAAUUCUAACAUUAACCUAUAGCAUUUCCUAAGUUUUGUAUCCUCAUUAACACAAACUAAUAUUCUAGCCAAUGUAUAAUCUGAAGAAUUUUGAAUAAUUGUUUCAUAGUGGAUCCAAUGAUGACAAGAAACAGUACAGAUGGGAAGACAAAAUUUUGUAUGUCCCUCUAUAGGAAGUAGGAAUAUUUUUUCUUUAGAACAUUUCAAAAAGAAAAAUAACAGCCUCAAGAAUACUACUAAAUCUCUAGAUAGUACAGCAAAACAAUAAGAAUAGGGCCUUUAAAAAUUUUCUGAGUUAAUUGAAACUUAUCUACUGGUAUUCCAUCAAAGUAGAUUAAUGUUAAUAUCCUAUUCUUGUACUCAGAUUCUUCUCAAAGCUUCACUGCAUACCCUGAAAAUAUAAUUAGAUUUCCCUUCAGCUUUCGUGUGUUCCCCAAAUCGCUUCCAUUUUAGUUGAGUGGCACCGGCCCAAAGACAAAAUUUGAUAGUCUAAGUAGUUUAAAAAUAAGAUUCUUUACAUAACUUUUCUGUUUUGUUUUGUUUCUUUAGAUACAGUGGUUAAUAGAACCACCACCCUGAAAAUACUAGUCACGAGAUAUAACUUGAAUAUUGAUUCAUAUAUAUGACAUUUCAUGCAAACAAAAAAUCAUGUGAUCUAAUACUAUACAUAGGCAAAAGUAAGACAUAUGUCUUGUUUCUAUGAUAUUCUCUAGUGAGCUCCUUAAGUUCCUCAUUCCUGCCUCUUAGGUCUCCUAAGUGACUGCCAACAUUGGUUCACUGCUGCCUGACCCCAAAUUGCCUGUAUAAUAAUUUCUCACAUUGUGACCACAACUCUUAAGUUAUUACUGCAUUGCUUGCAAAGUAAUGCUUCACUUGCUGGUCUUCAGCCAUAGUGGACUACAGGAACUCCUUAAAAGUCUCCCACUUCUUUUCAUCUUCCUCCAAACUGUUAUACUUCCACAAACGAUAUCAUAAUCUAAGAGGCUUUCAGUCAUCAGAAAGACCCUCACAACUAUCCAGACUCUCUGGACUAUGUGAGCUCUUGGACAUCCCAGAGGACAGCCGAUCCUUUAAUUCUCCUCUUAAGACUAAGUGCUAUAAAUUCUAAGAUUCUAAUAACAGGCACUAGUCAAGUCAGGUAUAACAAAUACUAUCUGCACCGAAUUCUAAUUGUUUAUGAUUCUUCUACUUCCUAAUUUUUUUUCUUUGUCAUGAUCCAAAUGACCCACAUAUUCAUGUUGUGACCCUCCUAUUUCUUGCUAUCUGAAAACUUCUUAUACUUUAUUUUCCUCCUUUAUGGAAUUAUUCUAAUACAUUUAGCCAAUGAUGCGCUAGUAAAUAUACUAAGGUACUUGUGCUCCAGAGAAAGUUAAAGGCUCUGAACUAUAUGUUUGCCAGUUCCCACUUUAGAAAUACUCUCACCUGAUUUCAGCCUAUACCACUAAAAAUGAAGUUGAAAAAAAUUGUUUUUCAGUAGCAACUAUAUAAUAUUUUAAUCAAACAGAUGUAAUGAAUACAAAUAAAUUCAAGAACAUAGACAAUAUUCAAAUGUAAAAUAAUUAAGAGGUAAUGAGUUCUGAGUAUUUAUUACUUUUAUUUUUAAUAUCAUUCACCUUACUAUAAGUUUCUGUGUGUUCAUUUUUAAUAUAUUCAUGCUUAACAGAAGACUAGCAAAACUCUUUUCUGUUGGAAGAAUACGUACAUUCUAUUGAAAUUCAACAUCCAUUUCUAACCUCUUUUAACUUUCCUCCCAUCAUGAAAAAUAGAUGACGAAAAUUACAUUUCCCAGAAUUCCUUGGAGCUGGAACUUUUGGAAGGCAAAAAGAAGCAUAAAUUAACUUUGCUGGCCAGUGGACAAGUUCUGGUAAACUAAUUUAAAUUACCCUUUCUUGUGUCUAGCUUUAUGAAAGAUGGGCAGCUGCCUAAUGACAGCCUCUCACUUCAGCUAGUAGGGCCUUACGAUAGUUUGAGUAUCUAAUUCUUUACAUUAAGUAUCUUUCUGGUUAAAUUCUCUAAAGUGUUUGUUGUUGUUAUUGUUCCUGCAUUAAACCCUAAUAUAGCAUA